RNAcentral lists this ribosomal RNA (432 nucleotides) under uncultured bacterium. RNAcentral describes it as "partial 16S ribosomal RNA". It matches the Rfam family "Bacterial small subunit ribosomal RNA", at positions 29 to 506 of the family's 1533-position model. The record is from RNAcentral.
AGCGAACGCUGGCGGCAUGCCUAACACAUGCAAGUCGAACGAGACCUUCGGGUCUAGUGGCGCACGGGUGCGUAACGCGUGGGAACCUGCCCUUAGGUUCGGAAUAACUCCCCGAAAGGGGUGCUAAUACCGGAUAAUGUCUUCGGACCAAAGAUUUAUCGCCUUUGGAUGGGCCCGCGUUGGAUUAGCUAGUUGGUAGGGUAAAAGCCUACCAAGGCGACGAUCCAUAGCUGGUCUGAGAGGAUGAUCAGCCACACUGGGACUGAGACACGGCCCAGACCCCUAGGGGAGGCAGAAGUGGGGAAUAUUGGAAAAGGGGCGAAAGCCGGACCCAGCAAUGCCGGGUGAGUGAUGAAGGCCUUAGGGUUGUAAAGCUUUUUUACCCGGGAUGAUAAGGACAGUACCGGGAGAAUAAGCCCCGGCUAACCCCGG